GUAGAGAUNUGGAGGAAUACCGGUGGCGAAGGCGGCCCCCUGGACAAAGACUGACGCUCAGNUGCGAAAGCGUGGGGAGCAAACAGGAUUAGAUNCCNGGUAGUNCACGCUGUAAACGAUNUCGACUUGGAGGUUGUGCCCUNGAGGCGUGGCUUCCGGAGCUAACGCGUUAAGUCGACCGCCUGGGGAGUACGGCCGCAAGGUUAAAACUCAAAUGAAUUGACGGGGGCCCGCACAAGCGGUGGAGCAUGUGGUUUAAUUCGAUGCAACGCGAAGAACCUUACCUACUCUUGACAUCCACGGAAUUUGGCAGAGAUGCCUUAGUGCCUUCGGGAACCGUGAGACAGGUGCUGCAUGGCUGUCGUCAGCUCGUGUUGUGAAAUGUUGGGUUAAGUCCCGCAACGAGCGCAACCCUUAUCCUUUGUUGCCAGCACUUCGGGUGGGAACUCAAAGGAGACUGCCGGUGAUAAACCGGAGGAAGGUGGGGAUGACGUCAAGUCAUCAUGGCCCUUACGAGUAGGGCUACACACGUGCUACAAUGGCGUAUACAAAGAGAAGCAAACUCGCGAGAGCCAGCGGACCUCAUAAAGUACGUCGUAGUCCGGAUUGGAGUCUGCAACUCGACUCCAUGAAGUCGGAAUCGCUAGUAAUCGUAGAUCAGAAUGUUACGGUGAAUACGUUCCCGGGCCUUGUACACACCGCCCGUCACACCAUGGGAGUGGGUUGCAAAAGAAGUAGGUAGCUUAACCUUCGGGAGGGCGCUUACCACUUUGUGAUUCAUGACUGGGGUG
This 791-nucleotide ribosomal RNA is filed under the name uncultured prokaryote. RNAcentral describes it as "bacterial SSU rRNA". It matches the Rfam family "Bacterial small subunit ribosomal RNA", at positions 690 to 1482 of the family's 1533-position model. The record is from RNAcentral.